UAUACCAAAAGGUAUGGGGAUUACUAGUAAUAAAUAGCAGUUUAAAAACUUUUUCUAAAUGAAGUAUAGGAGCAUUAGAAACAUUAUUUUAGAUUUUGUCUGGUAAGAUGGAAGCAUUGUUUUUAAGCGUUAAAAAAAAGUACCUUUAGUAUAAUGGCCUUUCAAGAGAUUUUGCUGUACUAGCACCUCCCGAAAUAAAAAGAUUUUUAGGAAAGCAGAAUAAUAGAGAUAUUCGAUGUAAGAAUUCUUGAAUAAACUUUGCUAAGGAUGUGAUAUGCAAUUUCGAGUUUUAAGAUAGCUGGUUGUUCGAAAAAUGCUUUUAAGUGCAGCUUUAAUGUGGGGUGUAGUGUGUUAAAGAUACUCACUAGACCAGGAUGUUAUAAGUGAAAAAUUCGGCUAAAGGUUGGAUUUAUAAUGCUUUCUAAGUUAUUAAAUUUUUAGAAAGAGAAAUUGGGUUUAUGCUGCCCAUUUUGUUAUGAGUAUUUAACAACUUGUCUUUCUAAUAGUAAAAGAAUAAUUUCUAAAAAAUGAGGCUUAGCAAAUCGUUCACCUGUCUAAGAUAUUCUUUGAUUGAUUAUUAUGCUGGGAUUAGUAAUAACAUA
Molecule: ribosomal RNA, 602 nt
Filed under: Magallana angulata
Lineage: Eukaryota; Metazoa; Mollusca; Bivalvia; Ostreida; Ostreidae
Description: large subunit ribosomal RNA
Source: RNAcentral